GCUGCGCCCGCCCCUGGGAGGAGCCCUUGGCUGUGCUCGUCGCCGGGGAAUGUGGCCUCCGAACAGCUCCCCAGAGGCAAUCUGAGCCCUGGCUAGGAAGGUGACAGUCAGACGGAGUAAGCGUCGUCUUCAGACCGAGUGGCAGAAGGUCCCCGCCUUUGUGGUGCAGACGAGGAGGGCGCAGGACACUCCGGGCGGCGCGCGCCCAGGACGAAGUUUCCCAUCAGCUUCUCCGUAACUUUCCUCCCGCUUCGAGCUCGGCGCGGGAUGGUUGGACCCCUCCGAAGACCCCCUUGCUGACGGGGGAGGUAUGCCGAGAAAGACGUACGUGCUAAGGAGUCCCCGCCCGGGCGCCCUGCGUUCCUGUUUCCAAGUGAAAGCCAUCUCCGUGGAUGCUGCCCGGUGACAAGGAGAGAUGGAAAAUGUCAAGGAUGGGACUUUAUAGAACCCUUUGCACACAGUAGAAUGUGAUGAAGUUUCUCAGUAAAAGGCACAUUUUAUAAGCAGAAUAUAAAUAUUCAGUGUCUUGGCCUUGGACCCACGACUGCGUUCCAGUGGCCGGGCAGCCCCGCACCUGCCCCACGCAGCCUCUGCCUGGUUCCUCCGAGACUCCUGGGCUCCAGCCCUGCCCAGCCCAUUAUUCACAGACGUGUCUCCUGUGGCCAUGGAAAACUGUUCCACGGAGCUUCCUGUAGGGAUAUUUUGGGACUGAGAACCUUGGCUUUUGAUUUUUUUUUUUUUCCCCUCUACCUUGCAUAACAGCUCUGAUUCCUAAUUCCCUUGGAGUCUCUCUCCUCGCCUGCUGCUCUUCGGGCUGAAAAAUAAAGUCUCUUUUGGCAUCUCA
Molecule: long non-coding RNA, 844 nt
Organism: Lemur catta (Ring-tailed lemur)
Lineage: Eukaryota; Metazoa; Chordata; Mammalia; Primates; Lemuridae
Exons: 2
Source: RefSeq, a predicted model, not a curated record